Molecule: non-coding RNA, 837 nt
Organism: Carica papaya (papaya)
Lineage: Eukaryota; Viridiplantae; Streptophyta; Magnoliopsida; Brassicales; Caricaceae
Source: RefSeq, a predicted model, not a curated record
AUUGGAAAUGUAGGUGUCAACUACUUGGAUCAUGCUGGAUCAACAUUGUACUCGGAGUUGCAAAUGGAAGCAAUAUUCAAAGAUCUCAGAACUACUGUUUAUGGAAAUCCCCAUAGCCAAAGUGAUUCCAGCUUUUCAACUAGUGAGGUUACGCGCAAAGCACGUGAACAGGUACUAUAUUUUUUAUGUAGCUCUGUCUAAUGCAAGUUUCUUGGGGCAUAAUUAUCUAACAGGAAAGAACGGCAAUAUUGCUGUUUUUAUUCAGUUCCUUUCGUUAUGUCUUUGUUGUAAAUAAAGCAAGCUCUGUAACUAUAGUAUUUCAGUAUUAGGCAAAUAUUAUAACUAUAGAAUGCAAAUAUUAUGCUUAAUCAUAGAAAACAAAUUAGGUUAUGAUUAGGGAAGUCUUAUGGCAGUCUGUUCAUGUACAUCUAUAUGUACUUUGUGCACCAGAAAAAAUAAGAAGAAUACUCUUACUCUAAUUCUUCAUUGGCAUCAGAACAUUAUGGUUUCCUCUCUUUGGCACUUUAUGCUUUUUAUCUGUAACGGCUGCCCUAGUGUUCUGGCUAAAUUUCUUGGUCCAUAGCUGAUGACCCAUCUCUGAAUUAAUGUUAAAGAUUUUUGCUGCCUCCAAUUCUCUGCGAGUUAAGAGGCAGAAUUUUCUCAUUCAAUGGUGGAAGAGAAAGAGAUGAAAACUGUGAUCUCUGGUGUUGUCCCUACGACAACAAAGCUCACUGAACACAAACUCAAUCACUGAAUCAAAACAGUGAGAGUUUAGCUUCUUAGAAUUGCUAAGAAUGAUCAUCUAACUGAUGAUCCACUGUCUGAUGAAGUCGCAAA